RNAcentral lists this ribosomal RNA (497 nucleotides) under uncultured Glomeromycotina. RNAcentral describes it as "SSU rRNA". It matches the Rfam family "Eukaryotic small subunit ribosomal RNA", at positions 591 to 1092 of the family's 1831-position model. Lineage: Eukaryota; Fungi; Glomeromycota. The record is from RNAcentral.
CCAAUAGCGUAUAUUAAAGUUGUUGCAGUUAAAAAGCUCGUAGUUGAAUUUUAGGCCUGGCCGGGCGGUCCGUCUUUGGCGAGUACUGUCCUGUGUCGGGUCCACCUUCUGGUGAACCAGUAUGUCCUUUAUUGGGUGUGCCGGGGAGCCAGGACCAUUACCUUGAAAAAAUUAGAGUGUUUAAAGCAGGCAUUUGCUUGAAUAGAUUAGCAUGGAAUAAUAGAAUAGGACGUUGUGGUUCUAUUUUGUUGGUUUCUAGGACCACCGUAAUGAUUAAUAGGGAUAGUUGGGGGCAUUAGUAUUCAAUUGUCAGAGGUGAAAUUCUUGGAUUUAUUGAAGACUAACUAUUGCGAAAGCAUUUGCCAAGGAUGUUUUCAUUAAUCAAGAACGAAAGUUAGGGGAUCGAAGACGAUCAGAUACCGUCGUAGUCUUAACCAUAAACUAUGCCGACUAGGAAUCGGGCGACGUUAUUUUCAUGACUCGCUCGGCGCCUUAUG